UGCAAAACAGAAGUGUUAUUUAAUAACUUUGUAAAAUGAAAUCACACACAAGGCAUACAUUUAAAUUACAAAGCCUUAACAAGCAUUACAAGGGAUUAUUCUAGGCAUACAGAUCUUAAUGUUAAUUUACAAGGCAAAGCAUCAACUAGGCCUAAUCCGACCUACUCAGGCCAUGGGCUUGGUUAUUUUAGAAGAGAAGCAUUUUCGUACAACUUUAUUCAAUGGGCAGGACACAGGAUAAGAGUGAUACUUUCAUUUCAUAUAUACCAGAUCUGACUUGUUAAUUUUCAAAAUAAAUUGUUGACCAAUUCACAGACCAAAGAUAAUAAAUUAAUAUCCAAUCAAAUUGAACCAGCCAACAUCCUCUAGAAAGAGGAUUACAUCUAUUUUUUUAUUUUCUUUAUUUCACCUUUAUUUAACCAGGUAGGCAAGUUGAGAACAAGCUCUCAUUUACAACUGCGACCUGGCCAAGAUAAAGCAAAGCAGUUCGACACACAUAACAGAGUUGGAGUAAAACAAACAUACAGUCAAUGUUGUGUAUUGAUAUUCUAGUUUGUCCCUUUAGGGCACCUGUAACCCCCCUUUGCUUACCUACGUUGAAAUGCUUGGAAUGUUCUUCCUGUAAAACGCAUUAAACAAUGUCCACUUUAAUUUCUACUCUGGUCUCAUGUCCUGUCCUUAUAUUAGUUGUAUAAGUAAUACAGUGUGCUAUACAACAAAACUGGCGACGAGGAAGAAACGUUCUCACGUUUGUGCUCAUCAUCUUCGGCAGAAAGUCUGAGUUAAAUUCGUUAUAUUUUUUUCUCUCUCUGUAGAAAGACGCAAACAAAACGUGGAGCUAGCCAGUCGAGUGAUGCUAGCUAGCCUUUGAUGUCACGGCCUCGAGGGAUAGGAAGAGUUUCGCUGCGGGAGGAAGUGAAGUCACCGUGACUUUAAUUUUUUUUUUUAAAAGGGGCCUGGGAGUAAGGGACCAUCUGAAAAGUGUGAGAUAGAAAAAUAAACUGAAAAUGUCUGCAUUGAUUGAAAAUAUAGGAACAUUUGAUGAAUCUGUGGAACAAUGGAGUUCUUACACAGAACAUUUUGAGUACUUUGUGUUGACAAAUGGAAUUAAAGCAGAAGUCGUGCCAACAUUUUUGACUGUUAUGGGAGGAAAAACGUUCAAUCUACUGCGCAGCCUAGUAACUUCUGGAAAACCUGGUGAUAAAUCAUAUGAUGAAAUUGUGCCUUAAAAGGACAUUCUCCCAAACCACUGAUAAUUGCAGAGAGAUUCCAGUUUCAUAAGAGAAAUCAAGAGGAGGGGGAAUCAAUCUCACAGUUUGUGGCUGUAUUGAAACAGUUAUCUGAACACUGUGAAUUUGGGUGAUCAAUGAGUGACACUAUACGUGAUAGGUUAGUGUGUGGCAUGCGCAGCAAGGCAAUUCAGAAACGCCUUUUGACUGAGAGUAACUUAACAUUGCAGAGAGCAAUAGAAGUGAGUGCGUCAAUGGAAAUGGCAAAUAAAGACACACAACAGCUAAGUGCAUCGACCAAAGUGUAUAAGGUGUCUAUGUGGUUAAAGAACAAGGCAGGAGGUGGCAAGCCAUGCUAUCGCUGUGGGAAACCAGGGCACCAAGCAGAGGAGUGUUGGUGCAAUGACUUAGACUGCAGAAGUUGUGGGGAAAAGGGUCACAUCGAACAUGCAUGUAAAAACAAAAAGACACAAACAAAAGUACUGAACAAAGGAAAAGCGACUUCAGGAAGUACAAAAAGAAAGUGCAUAAAAUGGAGCACACAGAUGAUGAACAAAGUGAUACCCUGUCUGAAGGGAAAGAAUCUUUGCAUGUUAUGUCAAUUUCAGACAAUGGAUACGGGUACUGGGUGACACCACUACUGGAUGGAAACGCAGUACGGAUGCAAGUGGGCACUGGAGCAGCCAUAUAUUUGCUGUCUGAGGCUGUACGCUGACGCUGAAAACAUACACCGGUGAGAUUGUUCCAGUGAGAGGAAGCGUGAUUGGUACAGUGGAGCUCAACAAACAGAAGGUAAAGAUACCACUCUACAUAGUGAAAGGCCACUAUCCAGCAUUGCUAGGAUGUACAUGGCUGGAAGAUCAAACUUACCUGGCAGGAAAUUCACAUGGUUGCAGAAGAGGACACAAACCUACAAGGGAUAUUGAGGAAACAUGCGGAUGCGUUCAAAGGAGACCUUGGCAGUAUGAAGGACAUAACAGUUAAACUGACAGUGAAACCAGACAGCAAGCCAAAAUGCUUCAAAGCUAGACCUGUCCCAUACGCCAUAAAACCAAAAGUUGAAAUUGAGCUAAACAGUCUAGUCGAGAGUGGAGUAUUGGAUCCAGUGAAUGUUAGUGAAUGGGCUACACCCGUUGUUCCAGUCAUGAGAAAAAAUGGAUCACUCAGACACAUGAUUGAGUGUAGUCUGGCCCAGGAGUGGGAAGGUGAACGGAAAGGCUCUGGAGCAACGAACCGCCCUUGCUGUCUCUGCCUGGCCGGUUCCCCUCUUCCCACUGGGAUUCUCUGCCUCUAACCCUAUUACGGGGGCUGAGUCACUGGCUUACUGGGGCUCUCUCAUGCCGUCCCUGGAAGGGGUGCGUCACCUGAGUGGGUUGAUUCACUGAUGUGGUCAUCCUGUCUGGGUUGGCGCCCCCCUUGGGUUGUGCCAUGGCGGAGAUCUUUGUGGGCUAUACUCAGCCUUGUCUCAGUAUGGACCUGAGCCCUAGGACCAUGCCCCAGGACUACCUGACAUGAUGACUCCUUGCUGUCCCCAGUCCACCUGGCCGUGCUGCUGCUCCAGUUUCAACUGUUCUGCCUUAUUAUUAUUCGACCAUGCUGGUCAUUUAUGAACAUUUGAACAUCUUGGCCAUGUUCUGUUAUAAUCUCCACCCGGCACAGCCAGAAGAGGACUGGCCACCCCACAUAUGCUCUCUCUAAUUCUCUCUUUCUUUCUCUCUCUCGGAGGACCUGAGCCCUAGGACCAUGCCCCAGGACUACCAGACAUGAUGACUCCUUGCUGUCCCCAGUCCACCUGACCGUGCUGCUGCUCCAGUUUCAACUGUUCUGCCUUAUUAUUAUACGACCAUGCUGGUCAUUUAUGAACAUUUGAACAUCUUGGCCAUGUUCUGUUAUAAUCUCCACCCGGCACAGCCAGAGAGGACUGGUCACCCGACAUAGCCUGGUUCCUCUCUAGGUUUCUUCCAAGGUUUUGGCCUUUCUAGGGAGUUUUUCCUAGCCACCGUGCUUCUACACCUGCAUUGCUUGCUGUUUGGGGUUUUAGGCUGGGUUUCUGUACAGCACUUUGAGAUAUCAGCUGAUGUAUGAAGGGCUAUAUAAAUAAAUUUGAUUUGAUUUGAUUUGACACUGUGGUGAUUUCAAAGUCACCAUUAACCCAGUCUUGACUGCUGAAAAAUAUCCACUACCCCUCAUUUACGACCUCUUUUCUGGUUUAGCUGGAGGACAACAAUUCAGUAAGAUAGGCCUGACAUACGUCUAUCUACAGAUGCAUGUGUACCAAGAGUCACAAGAACUGUUGACCAUAGUGACUCACAAAGGACUCCGGUACAGGUACCGGAGGCUUCCUUUUGGAAUCACCUCAGCUCCGGCCUUGUUUCAGAGAGCUAUGGACCAGAUACUGAGCGGGCUCACCGGGGUCCAAUGUUACCUCGAUGAUCUACUCAUCACCGGCAAAGACGAGCUGGAGCACCUGAGAAACCUGAACGCUACACUACAGAGAUUGGAGGAGUACUGUCUGAGGGUCCGGAAGGACAAAUGCAAGUUCGUCCGGCCCUCUGUUGAGUACCUGGGCCACGUCAUCGACAGUUUGGGGCUCCACAAGGCGCCAUCGAAGGUGAAGGCCGUUGCGGAAGCUCCAUCCCCACAGAACGUGAGUCAGCUGAGAUCAUUCUUAGGACUACUGACAUACUACGCAAAGUUUGUGCCAAACCUAGCUAACAUGUUAAAGCCACUGCAUGAACUUUUGAACAAAACCAAACAGUGGAAGUGGACAGACAGAUGUGAGGAGGCCUUCAAGAAAGUGAAAACAGCCUUAGCUCAGUCAGAGGCCCUAACCCACUUCAACCCCAACUAGCCAUUACAGUUGGCAUGUGAUGCAUCGCCUUAUGGCGUUGGUGCGGUUGUCUCACACAACAUGCCAUCAGGUGAAGAAAGGCCAAUUGCUUUCGCAGCACGGACCUUAAAUAAAGCCGAGAGCAAUUAUGCACAGAUAGAGCGUGAAACACUCGCCAUUGUGUUUGGAGUUAAGAAAUUUCAUCAGUUUCUGUUUGGCCAACGAUUCACACUGCUGACGGAUCAUAGACCCCUCACCUCCAUCUUUGGUCCCCACACCGGCAUUCCGUCGCUUGCAGCCAGCCGCAUGCAGCGAUGGGCGUUAUUGUUAUCUGCUCACCAGUACGAUAUCAAGUACAGAAGGUCUGAGCAGCACUGCAAUGCAGACGGCCUCUCAAGGCUUCCCUUACCUGUCGCACACACUGAGCACUCCCAGGCUGAAAUCUUCUACUUCAAGGAAGUGAUGAACGCCCCAGAUACAUCUGUCCAAGUGAAAAAGUUCACCCACUCUGAUCCAGUGAUGUCUGAGGUCGUGGACAUUGUCACUCGUGGAAAAGGAGAGAUGUCGGACAGCCUACAACCUUACCUAGUGAGGAGAAACGAGCUCACAGUUCAGUUUGGAUGCUUGCUAUGGGGUUUUCGAGUCAUCAUACCGCCGCCGCCACUGAGGUGGCAGGUGCUUGAAAAACUCUAUUCAGGGCACUGUGACGUGGUGCGAAUGAAGGAGAUUGCAAGCAGCUACUUUUGGUGGCCAGGUCUGGACGCAGCUAUCGAAGACAAGGUCAAGUCAUGUUCUGCAUGUCAAAAGAUGGGGAACAUGCCUCAGCUAGCGCCACUACACCCACGGGACUUCCCAGAGGAGCCUUGGCAGCGAGUCCACAUAAACUAUGCAGGCCCACUGGAGGAUCGUAUGUUCUUAGUCGUAGUUGCCACACACAGCAAAUGGCCUGAGGUCACAGUGAUGAAGAGCACCUCAGCGGAGACAACCAUCGAAGAACUACGGUCAAUCUUCAGUCGCUUCGGCUUGCCAACGCAACUCGUUAGUGAUAAUGGCCCCCAACUGGUGUCUGAAGAGUUCCGGUCAUUCAUGGAAGCAAAUUGAAUUCAGCACAUGAAGUCAGCGCCGUAUCACCCUGCAACGAACGGCCUCGCUGAAAGGUUUGUCCAAACGAUGAAGCAAGCUUUAAAAUCACCACAAGGGAACGGCUCCCUCAAUAGGCGUCUAAACACCUUCCUGUUAACCUACAGAAACACUCCCCACGCUACAACCAAAGUGGCACCCGCGUCAGCCAUGAUGAAAAGACAGCUUCGCACGCGACUCGACCUCCUGAGACCUCCAAAGACGAGACCGUUUGUACAGACACAACAGCAAGCACAGGUGGAGACACAGAGCAAAGAAAAAGACAGAAGCUUCAUAGCUAGAGAGAGAGUUCUUGCUCGGAACUACUGCAAAGGUACAAAGUGGAUACCAGCCACAGUGGUUGCACAAACAGGGCCUGUGUCCUAUACAUUUCACACACCGGAAAACAUAAUCUGGAGGAGACACGUGGAUCAACUGUUGCCAGGAACCAACCUCAGAGAUGACUCAUGUCAAGUGACAAAUCAAGAUCAGCAACUGGAGACCAACCAUGACUAUGAGCUAUCACCUGAACAUCCACUGCUGCAACCUACAAAUGUGGAAAGUGCUCCAGAGUGCGUACUCAGGGUACUGUUGCACCCCAGUCUGGGCAUACACCAUCACCACUCAGACUCAGAGAUAAUGUGACUGUAGACUCACCUGUACGUCGUCAUUACCCUGCAAGAGAAAGACGACCCCCUGACAGGUUGACUAUUUAGUUCAUUCUAACCUCCGACAUUGGGGCAGAAUACACCCCUGGGUUAAGUCUGGGGACUGAGGCAGUCUACCCUCUAUCCCUAGUUUAGAAAAGGUUAUUCUGAAAAGUUCAUUUAUUUACAUUUAGAGAAUUUAUAUUAAAAAGAAAACAAUAGGCAAAACAGUGAAUAUUUACUUUUUCCUUAUGAGUCAUCAAACAUAAAGGGGGAGGAAUAUGUUGUGUAUUGAUAUUCUAUUUUUUUCCCUUUAGGGCACCUGUAACCCCCCUUGCUUACCUAUGUUGAAAUGCUUGGAAUGUCCUUCCUGUAAAACGCAUUAAACAAUGCCC
Oncorhynchus tshawytscha (Chinook salmon) is the source of this 6220-nucleotide long non-coding RNA. The record is from Ensembl. Lineage: Eukaryota; Metazoa; Chordata; Actinopteri; Salmoniformes; Salmonidae.